RNAcentral lists this long non-coding RNA (628 nucleotides) under Homo sapiens (human). RNAcentral describes it as "non-protein coding lnc-SYN2-6:1". The record is from RNAcentral. Lineage: Eukaryota; Metazoa; Chordata; Mammalia; Primates; Hominidae.
AGGGAGCAGGGAUCCGCCUCCACUCCACCUGACCAGGAGCUCCAGAAUUGUAAAAUCCUGGACACCAUCGGCUGUGGCACGUUCAGUGAGGUCAAACUGACUCCUCACGUGCUGACUGGGACCCAGGUGGCCAUCGAAAUCAUACCUAAAAAUUUCACACAGAGAGAGACCUGAACCUGGAAAUUAUUGUCCUUGAUGAGGACGGUAACAUUAAGAUCGCAGACUUCAGCUUCCGUACCACAUUCCAUGAGAAACAGAAGCUGAUAGCCCUUUGUGGCACCUACCCCUGCAUGGCCCUGGAACUCUUCCUGGGCCAGGGCUACCAGUGCCCUGCCAUGAAUGUUUGGAGCCUCGGAGUAAUGUUAUAUCACAUGGUGGGUGAAGUUCUGCCCUUCUGCUCACGCAGUGUUAGGGUCUUCACGGGAAAAAUUUAAAAUGGAAGAUGAUUUUCCCCAGUAUACUUUUCCCGAGGUCUCAAAAGCCUCAAUAAUAAACUAUUAAGAGUAGACCCCAGGGAGCAGACAGCACUAGAAGAAGUGAUGAGGGGCCCAUGGGUGAAGGUCCUCCUGCUUCCCCAUCUUCUGAGGCCCAGGCCUUUCUCAGAGCCUCUGUAGGUCCCACCCCUGGU